This 344-nucleotide long non-coding RNA is filed under the name Gallus gallus (chicken). RNAcentral describes it as "long non-coding RNA NONGGAT008988". Lineage: Eukaryota; Metazoa; Chordata; Aves; Galliformes; Phasianidae. The record is from RNAcentral.
CGGGCACUCAUGGCGACCUGCUCGUCUCUCAGCGGCUCGGUGAGGGUCUGCCCCGCCGCUGCGGUAAGCGAGGGGGCCCCAUGUGAGGACAGAACCCAGCUGCGGGACCCGCGACCGCCACAGCUCCGCCCUCGCUCUCCUCCGCCUCCUCCUCACGCGCCCAACCCCGCCGUCAGCCUCACAGCCGCUGAGCCGCCCACAGAGCGGGGCGGAGCCGAUCUGCCAGCCGCCGUCCCGAGCAGCCAAUCGACGUCGGGAAGGGUUUGAUGGACGGUGGCUCUUGGCCAAUGGAGAAGAGGAAGGCAGGCGGAGGGACUCACAGAGCUCGAGGAUCGGCAGUCCUG